RNAcentral lists this ribosomal RNA (2998 nucleotides) under Bactrocera tryoni. Its description in RNAcentral is "eukaryotic LSU rRNA". The stretch from base 1995 to 2998 matches the Rfam family "Eukaryotic large subunit ribosomal RNA". Lineage: Eukaryota; Metazoa; Arthropoda; Insecta; Diptera; Tephritidae. The record is from RNAcentral.
ACAAGGUUUGCGGAGGUCGGUCUCAGUGUGACCGUUAACAAAAAGAUGGGGCAAAGGGUCGUAGUGCAGGGUUUGCACACGGAGCUUUAGCUUGAAGAGUUCAUGGAGGAACUCUUCCAGCACAAUAUUAGGAAGCGUUGUCCUGAGGCUAAGAACGCCGGCAUCAGGAUUGUAAGCAAGCCCUGGGUGGUUAAGGGUGAUGGUAGGACGAACGUCGUCCUGGAAGGAGAUGUCAAAGUCAUGUCAACACUUUUGGAGGCAGGAAGGGUCUACAUUAUGUGGUUCUCAUUCCAAGUGCACGCGGAUAGUCCAGUUGCCGGUUAUUUCUGGUGUAUGGGCUUCGACUACCGGGUUGCGGAUUGUCGGGCCAAAUCCGAUGUCUGCCGGAGGUGUGGCAAAGAGGGACACAAAGCUGUCCGUUGCAACAAGGCCCCGCAUUGUCCCAACUGUCACUUCAAGGGUAAGCCGGCUGGACAUCUUAUAAUGACCGCUGUCUUCCCAGUAUACUGCGGCAUCGUGGAGCGCGCACUUGCUACUGUCACUUCAAAGGUAAGCCGGCUGGACAUCUUAUAACGACCGCUGUCUGCCCAGUAUACUGCGGCAUCGUGGAGCGCGCACUUGCUAGACAUCAAUGGGCGCGCUGUUUCAGCUCCAUUGCCAGGGGUCAUAUGCCGCUAUGUGCGAAUUGGGGGGUUUUAUGAUUAAGGGUGGGUGCGGUGUUGCCCUACUCCAGGAGCUCUACGCUCCUGGUGUGGUUAGGGGUCUCCAUGGCAGUUUUAUAAUCUUUACAGAUCUUAGGGCUAACGCCUCAAGAGUUGUGAACAAUCCGAACUAUGCUUGUGUAGUUUUGGACUCUUCACAGCUGGAAGUUUGCGUUUCAGUAGAAGGGGAGUUCGGUCGACUGGUCGUCGCUAGUUUGUACUGCAAAUUCAGCGAACCCCUAGAGCCUUACCUGUGGUACAUGGAUAGGCUACUAUUACUUGCGAGUAGUAGCCCAAUUAUCCUUGGACUAGACGCGAAUGCCUCAUCCUCGAUGUGAUUUAGUAAGGUAUCCCGGCAUCCUGCUGUCCGUACCAUAUAUCCUGGCUUGUUUGUGGUCUGUGCCACUUACGGAGCUGCUGUAUGGUGGGAAACAGCCACGACAGUCUUGGGGCGUCAAAAGCUUCUCUCAAUACAGCGUUUUAUUAUGCUUGCUUGCUUGCCUGUAUGUCGCACCGUUUCAUCGGAUGCAGUGCAGGUGCUAUUAGGAGCUCCCCCGCAUGUCCUGAUUCAUACUCACGGGACAUGGGCCUCUGAAUGCAUUCUUGCAUAAGAGGAAUCUAUCGGAAACACCCGAAUGUGCGUGUGGAUCACGCAAUGAGGAUUGGGUACAUGUCAUUGCAGAACGCGCAAUGUACUCAGACAUCAGGAGCUUUAGAGAAAUAGGGAUUCGUUAUAUAAAUGGACGGCUAGAUGUGAGCGGUGUGUUCUCCACUAGCUGGAGUGCCGAACUGUUAGGGACGUUUGAUAGGUUUGCGCGUGAAAUAUUUAGGCGGCGAAAACAAUUGACUGAAACGUUAGGUUAGGUUAGGUUAGGUAAGGGGGAUGUGGGUGCUUGGGAAGGGAGUAUGGGCUCUAACCCCUGGUCCACGGGCAGCAGGUACUACGGAGAGCAGGAGUCCUUGGGGUUCGCUCCAAUCUGCUCAUGCGGUAUGGCCCUUUGGGGAGUAUCGUGGUGGUUGUGGUUUAUACCCAAAUGCGGGCAGAGUGUUUUGAUCACUCAAUGUGGAGUUGCAUUGCAACCGGGUGCCAGAUCCAAAGUACGGCAGACGUUUUAAAUGGGCUUCGAACCCUACCAAGGUGGUUAGUGUGACCAUUCCACACUGCCAAUUGGUCCUGAAAAUGCUUGGUAUUUUCAAGGCGCUGAUUAACGCAUUGAUUUGAUCCAUUGUACUUUUGAGUACCGUGGCGUAAGGUUGUCGUCAGCAGGAACCUACGUUAAACACACCGGACGUUGUCCCUAUUUAUUGUGCUUCUAGCAAUAGGAGCACUGUGGAGUUAGGCUGUCGACAGUAGGAAUUCACGUAAAACCACAACGGAAUCUGUCCUUAUCUACUAUCUAGCGAAACCACAGCCAAAGGAACGGGCUUGGAAUAAUUAGCGGGGAAAGAAGAUCCCGAUUCUUGAUCAAAGUACUAUGAGCUUGUUAUAUACAUAAUUGUAAACUUAUUUUAAUGAAAUGAUAGCAUUCGGUGCAAUUAUUAUAAUUAAAAUUUGGUAUAACUCCUACACUAAGGUUUCAUCCAAUUCUAGGACAUUGCCAGGUGGGGAGUUUGACUGGGCCGGAACAUCUCUCAAAUAAUUACGGAGGUAUCCCAAGUUCAGCUCAGUGCUUACAGAAACUACAUAAAGAGCAAAAGGGCAAAUGCUAACUUGAUCCCGGUGUUCAGUACACACAGAGACAGCAAAAGCUCGGCCUAUCGAUCCUUUUGGUUUAAAGAGUUUUUACAAGAGGUGUCAGAAAAGUUACCACAGGGAUAACUGGCUUGUGGCGGCCAAGCGUUCAUAGCGACGUCGCAUUUUGAUCCUUCAAUGUCGGCUCUUCCUAUCAUUCUGAAGCAAAAUUCACCAAGUUUUGGAUCGUUCACCCAUUUAAGGGAACGUGAGCAGGGUUUAGACCGUCGUGAGGCAGGAUUGUUUUUACCUACUAAUGACAAUUGUUAUUGCGACAGCAUUCCUGCGUAGUCCGAGAGGAACCGCAGGUACGGACCAAUGGUACAAUACUUGUUCGAGCGAACAGUGGUAUGAUGCUACGCCCGUUGGAUUAUGCCUGAACGUAUCGGUGCUGAACUGCAAUGAUAAAUAUGGUGCAUGCAUUGUAUGGCUUCUCUAAACCAUUUAAAGUUUAAAAAUUUAUUUAUAAACGACAAUGGAUAUACAUAUGUGAUGGCAAUGUUAUUUGUAACAUAGCAUAUGCGGGAGGAUUAAAUAUCACCUGUAUAACGUCCUAGUUACUUAU